This 1473-nucleotide ribosomal RNA is filed under the name uncultured prokaryote. RNAcentral's name for it is "partial 16S ribosomal RNA". It matches the Rfam family "Bacterial small subunit ribosomal RNA". The record is from RNAcentral.
AGAGUUUGAUCCUGGCUCAGAACGUACGCUGGCGGCGGGCCUAACACAUGCAAGUCGAACGCACUCGACCUUCGGGUCACAUGAGUGAGUGGCGAACGGGUGAGUAACACGUGAGGAACCUGCCCCGAAGACUGGAAUAACCCGAGGAAACUCGGGCUAAUACCGGAUAUCCCCACCGGGUCGCAUGGCCAGGUGAGGAAAUGCUCCGGCGCUUUGGGAGGGUCUCGCGGCCUAUCAGCUUGUUGGUGAGGUAACGGCUCACCAAGGCAUCGACGGGUAGCUGGUCUGAGAGGACGAUCAGCCACACUGGGACUGAGACACGGCCCAGACUCCUACGGGAGGCAGCAGUAGGGAAUCUUGCACAAUGGGCGAAAGCCUGAUGCAGCGACGCCGCGUGGGGGAUGAAGGCCUUCGGGUUGUAAACCCCUUUCAGUAGGGACGAAAAUGACGGUACCUACAGAAGAAGCUCCGGCCAACUACGUGCCAGCAGCCGCGGUAACACGUAGGGCCCGAGCGUUGCGCGGAAUCACUGGGCUUAAAGCGUACGUAGGCGGAUCUAUAGGCAUCUUGUGAAAUCCCACGGCUCAACCGUGGAACUGCUCGAUGAACCAUAGAUCUUGAGGCAGGUAGGGGCUGUCGGAACGAUAGGUGGAGUGGUGAAAUGCGUUGAUAUCUAUCGGAACGCCGAAGGAGAAGUCAGGCGACUGGGCCUGUUCUGACGCUGAGGUACGAAAGCGUGGGUAGCGAACGGGAUUAGAUACCCCGGUAGUCCACGCCGUAAACGAUGUGCACUAGGUUGGGGACGUACUGACACGUUUCCUGGCCGAAGCGAAAGUGUUAAGUGCACCGCCUGGGGAGUACGGUCGCAAUGCUAAAACUCAAAGGAAUUGACGGGGGCUCACACAAGCGGUGGAGCAUGUGGCUUAAUUCGAAGCAACGCGAAGAACCUUAUCCUGGGUUUGACAUGUAUGGAUUAACUCUAUGAAAGUAGGGCUACGCCUUCGGGUGGAACAUACACAGGUGCUGCAUGGCUGUCGUCAGCUCGUGCUGUGAAGUGUCGGGUUAAGUCCCUUAACGAGCGCAACCCCUAUCGUUAGUUACUAACACGUAAUGGUGAGGACUCUAGCGAGACUGCCGGUGUUAAACCGGACGAAGGUGGGGAUGACGUCAAGUCCGCAUGGCCUUUAUGCCCAGGGCUGCACACGUGCUACAAUGGCAGGGACAGAACGAUGCAAUACCGCGAGGUGGAGCAAAUCGCAAAAGCCUGCCCCAGUUCGGAUAGGAGGCUGCAAUUCGCCUCCUUGAAGUCGGAAUCGCUAGUAAUCGCGGAUCAGCAUGCCGCGGUGAAUACGUUCCUGAGCCUUGUACACACCGCCCGUCACGUCAUGGAAGCUGUUAGUGCCUUAAGUCGCCGAGAUUCAUCGGUGCCCACGGCAAGACUGGUGACUGGGACUAAGUCGUAACAAGGUAACC